GCGUGCAAGCAGGAAGGGGGCAGGGAUCCCUCAGCUGGGAAGGGAAGCUUCCCGUUGCCUAACUGAGAGAUCCCUGCCCCCUCCUGCUUGCUCACAAGCUCUGAUAGGCAGCGUGAAGCCUCCCUUCACAGCUGAAAGAUCCUUGCCUCCUCCUGCUUGCAUGC
This 164-nucleotide microRNA precursor is filed under the name Podarcis lilfordi (Lilford's wall lizard). The record is from RNAcentral. Lineage: Eukaryota; Metazoa; Chordata; Lepidosauria; Squamata; Lacertidae.